GACGAACGCUGGCGGCGUGCCUAAUACAUGCAAGUCGAACGCAGUGGGGACGGGUGAGUAACACGUGGGUAACCUCCCCAUCAGAGGGGAUAACACUUGGAAACAGGUGCUAAACCGAUACUGAUGGAUGGACCCGCGGGGCAUAAGCUAGUUGGGGAGGUAACGGCUCACCAAGGCCACGAUGCAUAGCGGACCUGAGAGGGGGAUAGGCCACACUGGGACUGAGACACGGCCCAGACGCCUACGGGAGGCAGAAGUGGGGAAUCUUCGGCAAUGGACGAAAGUCUGACCGAGCAACGCCGCGUGAGUGAAGAAGGUUUUCGGAUCGUAAAACUCUGGUGUGCGAGAAGCGGUAUCUAACCAGAAAGCCACGGCUAACUACGUGCCAGCAGCCGCGGUAAUUC
RNAcentral lists this ribosomal RNA (404 nucleotides) under uncultured bacterium. RNAcentral describes it as "partial 16S ribosomal RNA". It matches the Rfam family "Bacterial small subunit ribosomal RNA", at positions 28 to 526 of the family's 1533-position model. The record is from RNAcentral.